GGGGUUGUGGCUCAGUGGUAGAGUGCUCGCCUAGCACAUGUGAGUCCUUGGGUUCGAUCCUCAGCACCACA
This 71-nucleotide transfer RNA is filed under the name Marmota monax (woodchuck). RNAcentral describes it as "tRNA.Ala". The record is from RNAcentral. Lineage: Eukaryota; Metazoa; Chordata; Mammalia; Rodentia; Sciuridae.